CUCUUUUACGGGCCGCCGAGCAAAGGUCUUUCUUUUCUCUUCUUCAAAACCCACUCUACAAGGAAAUCUUCAGAAACAUUCCAGCAGGCAAGACAAGGGCAUAAAGGCCAGGGGGUCCCCCAGCCUCAGGACAGCAAGUGUGGGGACGUGCCCUACUGCAUGCCCCAUCCCCUGAGCCAGGAACAAAGACCAGAGGUCAAGCCGGCAGCAGUUGAGGAAGAGGGUCAGGCGUGGCUGUGUGUCCCGAAUUGGUGGGUUCUUGGUCUCACUGACUUCAAGAAUGAAGCCGCGGACCCUUGCGGUGAGUGUUACAGUUCUUAAAGGCGGCGUGUCCGGAGUUUGUUCCUUCUGAUGUUCGGAUGUGUUUGGAGUUUCUUCCUUCUGGUGGGUUCGUGGUCUCGCUGGCUCAGGAAAGAAGCUGCAGACCUUCGCGGACAGGAUCACAUAGCACUGAGCAUGGAAUCAAAAUGGAGCAGGAUCUGGACAAUCAAAAGGAA
RNAcentral lists this long non-coding RNA (497 nucleotides) under Homo sapiens (human). RNAcentral describes it as "HSALNT0267325". Lineage: Eukaryota; Metazoa; Chordata; Mammalia; Primates; Hominidae. The record is from RNAcentral.